This 428-nucleotide ribosomal RNA is filed under the name uncultured bacterium. RNAcentral describes it as "bacterial SSU rRNA". It matches the Rfam family "Bacterial small subunit ribosomal RNA", at positions 29 to 479 of the family's 1533-position model. The record is from RNAcentral.
AACGAACGCUGGCGGCAGGCCUAACACAUGCAAGUCGAACGCCCUAGCAAUAGGGAGUGGCAGACGGGUGAGUAACACGUGGGAACGUUCCUUUCGGUUCGGAAUAACCUAGGGAAACUUGGACUAAUACCGGAUACGUGCGAGGUUUUAAUCGACCUUGGAGAAAGAUUUAUCGCCGGAGGAUUGGCCCGCGUCUGAUUAGCUUGUUGGUGAGGUAAUGGCUCACCAAGGCGACGAUCAGUAGCUGGUCUGAGAGGAUGAUCAGCCACAUUGGGACUGAGACACGGCCCAAACUCCUACGGGAGGCAGCAGUGGGGAAUAUUGGACAAUGGGCGAAAGCCUGAUCCAGCGAUGCCGCGUGUGUGAAGAAGGCCUGCGGGUUGUAAAGCAACUUCAGUAGGGAAGAAAUGCUUGGAGCUAACACCGCC